This 253-nucleotide ribosomal RNA is filed under the name uncultured bacterium. RNAcentral's name for it is "partial 16S ribosomal RNA". It matches the Rfam family "Bacterial small subunit ribosomal RNA", at positions 524 to 776 of the family's 1533-position model. The record is from RNAcentral.
UACAGAGGGGGCAAGCGUUGUUCGGAAUUACUGGGCGUAAAGGGCGCGUAGGCGGCCUGCUAAGUCGGACGUGAAAUCCCCGGGCUCAACCCGAGAACUGCGUCCGAUACUGACAGGCUCGAAUCCGGGAGAGGGAUGUGGAAUUCCCGGUGUAGCGGUGAAAUGCGUAGAUAUCUGGAGGAACACCGGUGGCGAAGGCGGCAUCCUGGACCGGCAUUGACGCUGAGGCGCGAAAGCCAGGGGAGCAAACGGG